This 446-nucleotide ribosomal RNA is filed under the name uncultured soil bacterium. Its description in RNAcentral is "bacterial SSU rRNA". It matches the Rfam family "Bacterial small subunit ribosomal RNA", at positions 26 to 518 of the family's 1533-position model. The record is from RNAcentral.
AGAACGAACGCUGGCGGCAUGCCUAACACAUGCAAGUCGAACGAGACCUUCGGGUCUAGUGGCGCACGGGUGCGUAACGCGUGGGAAUCUGCCCUUGGGUACGGAAUAACAGUUAGAAAUGACUGCUAAUACCGUAUAAUGACUUCGGUCCAAAGAUUUAUCGCCCAGGGAUGAGCCCGCGUAGGAUUAGCUUGUUGGUGAGGUAAAGGCUCACCAAGGCGACGAUCCUUAGCUGGUCUGAGAGGAUGAUCAGCCACACUGGGACUGAGACACGGCCCAGACUCCUACGGGAGGCAGCAGUGGGGAAUAUUGGACAAUGGGCGAAAGCCUGAUCCAGCAAUGCCGCGUGAGUGAUGAAGGCCUUAGGUGUAAAGCUCUUUUUACCCGGGAAGAUAAUGACUGUACCGGAGAAUAAGCUCCGGCUAACGUCCGUGCCCAGUAGCCGC